AUUUUACAACAGAAGAAAUUUCUGCAGACCAUGGGGAAUUAAAAUAAAAGCAACAAACUGCAAGAAAAAAAUGAUGAAAUCCACUCCUCCAGCUGUUGACAGGUUUCUCUCCUGCCUCACUGAUUUGACCUCCGGCCUCGGACCCUUCUGGGGGCUCUGUACCCCAGGGGAGCGAGAUUUCCCCCUCAGCAUCACUAUACCUCCUUAGGCACUAUCACAAAGAAUGAAGAUGAUGAUAGACAACACUUGCUUUACAUAAUGGAAAAAAUAAAAAAGGCCUGAUUUUCUUUUAUACUAAGACUCCUUCACACCAUAUUGGUAAUAUAAGAAAAGUUUUCAGAGAAAAAAGAUUUCCUGAUGGACAACAGAAUGUUCUUGCUGGACAACAGAAUGAUGACAUCAUGUCAGCAGCAUCAACAAGCUCUCUUAGCAAAACAAUAGCAGCCAGAGAGAGGGGAGAAGGCUAAAUUUAUUGAGCAUUCUUCACUGAAAGUUAUGUUUUCAACAUGCUUCUUAAAGUGUUCAAGCAUCCCAGGAUCACAAUAGUCUUUUUGGCCACAGCAUCACACUUGGAGCUCAAGAUCAGCUUCAUUAUUCACCAAGAGUUCCAAAUCUUUUUCACAGUCACUGCUUUCCAGGAUAGAGACUCCAUCCUGUCAUUGAUAAAAAAAUUCAAUAGUAUAGGACCAAGAACUGAUCCUUGGGGAAAUCCAUUGGAAACACAUCUGCACAAGAAUAACUCUUUUAUUUUGAGACCUAUCAGUUAGUCUGCUUUUAAUCCAUUUAAAGUGCACCAUGUUAAUUUUAUAUUCUGGGUUUUUUUAAAUCAAAAUGUGUUGGGCACCAAAUCAUGCACUUUGUACAGAAGGCUAAAUAUAUUCAAUCAACAUGAUUACCUUUAGCAACCAAAAUUUUGAUGUCAUCAAAAUAUUUCAAAUUAGUUGCACAGGUUCUAUUUUCCAUGAACCCAUGUUGGUAGGCAUUAAUUAUGUUACAAUUCUUAAAUGUUUUGUUAUCUGAGUCCUAUCUUAGCAUAUCACUAUCUUAGCCAGGAACAAUGUAUGACUGACAUGUUUAUAAUUACCUAAAUCAUCUAAUUUCCUGUUUUUAAAUAUUAGUACAAUAUAACAUUUCUUCCAGCAUUCUGGAAUUAUCACAGUGUUCUCAAACUUUUUUGAAAACCAAUGUUAACAGAUCAAUGAACUCCUAAGGCAGCUCUUUUAAAAAUCUCCACGAUAUAGUGGAGUUAUAUAAUUUGCCUUUUCCUCACAUACGGAAGAGAAAAAUUAUU
Non-coding RNA from Pelodiscus sinensis (Chinese soft-shelled turtle), 1291 nucleotides. Lineage: Eukaryota; Metazoa; Chordata; Testudines; Trionychidae. The record is from RefSeq and is a predicted model, not a curated record.